CCACAUCACAUUAAAACAGUGGUUCUUGUUUGAUCACUGAAGUUAAGCAAUGUUGAGUCUGGUUAGUAUUCAGAUGGGUAACCACUGGGGAAUACCAGGUGCUGUAU
Molecule: non-coding RNA, 107 nt
Organism: Acanthosepion pharaonis
Lineage: Eukaryota; Metazoa; Mollusca; Cephalopoda; Sepiida; Sepiidae
Source: the annotation of a GenBank genome assembly